Dactylonectria estremocensis is the source of this 97-nucleotide non-coding RNA. The record is from the annotation of a GenBank genome assembly. Lineage: Eukaryota; Fungi; Ascomycota; Sordariomycetes; Hypocreales; Nectriaceae.
GCUUCCGUAGCUCAGUUGGUUAGAGCUUCGUACUAAUACUACAAACCUGUUAGUCUUGGUGAUGCGAAGGUCGCAGGUUCAAGCCCUGCCGGGAGCA